GGCAAACCAUCGCCGUGCCUCCUACCACUUCCGCACUUCAGUGGCAGGUUUGGCCGAUUGUAGCACCGAUCAUAACUACGCAGGAGUUCUAUUUACUGACUACCAUUUCCAGUUCUUCCGUCGCUGUGACUGAUCAACACCAGAUGACGCUGCGGUCAGAACAGCCCUCCAGAAGCUACAUCCGGUAUCUGACCAUGUCGGAGGAAGAAAGUUAUUACUAUUUGUUGCUGAAAAAAGCCAUUCGAAAUACGUUUUUUUCUUACUUUUAAAACGUUUCUUAUUCUCAUUUUUAGUUUCGGAAUUUAUCUGAUCGCACUCAGAUCAUCGUUUGCUGUGACCGACUGCUCUGUGUAUUCCUUUAGUGAACUGAGCGCAUUUCAUAUGUACUGCUGUGUGCAAUGAUGUUGACCGAAAACUUUGUGUAAAUAAUAAAAUCUAGUGAAAAAUCGA
This is a non-coding RNA of Danio rerio (zebrafish), 450 nucleotides long. Lineage: Eukaryota; Metazoa; Chordata; Actinopteri; Cypriniformes; Danionidae. The record is from RefSeq and is a predicted model, not a curated record.